AUACUUACCUGGCAGGGGAGAUACCGUGAUCACAAAGGUGGUUUUCCCAGGGCGAGGCUGAUCCAUUGCACUCUGGGUGUGCUGACCCCUGCCAUUACCCCAAAUGUGGGAAACUAGUGGAGGACUGUGUUUGCACUCUCCCCUG
Small nuclear RNA from Erinaceus europaeus (western European hedgehog), 145 nucleotides. Its record names the gene U1. It matches the Rfam family "U1 spliceosomal RNA". From Rfam's summary of the family: U1 is a small nuclear RNA (snRNA) component of the spliceosome (involved in pre-mRNA splicing). Lineage: Eukaryota; Metazoa; Chordata; Mammalia; Eulipotyphla; Erinaceidae. The record is from Ensembl.